GAGACCUACAAGUCGAGCAGGGACGAAAGUCGGGCUUAGUGAUCCGGUGGUUCCGCAUGGAAGGGCCAUCGCUCAACGGAUAAAAGCUACCCUGGGGAUAACAGGCUUAUCUCCCCCAAGAGUCCACAUCGACGGGGAGGUUUGGCACCUCGAUGUCGGCUCAUCGCAUCCUGGGGCUGUAGUCGGUCCCAAGGGUUGGGCUGUUCGCCCAUUAAAGCGGUACGCGAGCUGGGUUCAGAACGUCGUGAGACAGUUCGGUCCCUAUCCGUCGCGGGCGUAGGAAAUUUGAGAGGAUCUGUCCUUAGUACGAGAGGACCGGGAUGGACAUACCGCUGGUGUACCAGUUGUUCUGCCAAGGGCAUCGCUGGGUAGCUAUGUAUGGAUGAGAUAAACGCUGAAAGCAUCUAAGUGCGAAACUCACCUCGAGAUAAGAUUUCCCAUUCCUUUAUGGAAGUAAGACCCCUGAGAGAUGAUCAGGUAGAUAGGAUGGAAGUGGAAGUACGG
Molecule: ribosomal RNA, 504 nt
Filed under: Ligilactobacillus murinus
Lineage: Bacteria; Bacillati; Bacillota; Bacilli; Lactobacillales; Lactobacillaceae
Description: bacterial LSU rRNA
Rfam family: Bacterial large subunit ribosomal RNA
Source: RNAcentral